Medicago truncatula (barrel medic) is the source of this 1000-nucleotide long non-coding RNA. RefSeq lists it as uncharacterized. The transcript has 2 exons. Lineage: Eukaryota; Viridiplantae; Streptophyta; Magnoliopsida; Fabales; Fabaceae. The record is from RefSeq and is a predicted model, not a curated record.
CCAAAUGGUGAUAUUUACUUCCUUUCUUUUUCUUAUGACAAAAGUGUUUUUUUCUUUUCUAUUCUGAGGGAGACAAAAGUUGUUUUUAAUUUUCUUCCUUUUGUUCAUCUUUAUGGGUACAUUAAUGGUGUGACGCGUUUGGACUUCAAAGGGACAAUUGACAAUUUUCUUCCAUAAAAAUGACAAUGACAAAAGAUUCUUGCUGAUUAUAAGAGGUGGAUGAUGAGCAAUAGUGCUGCUAAGAUGUGACCAUAAAAAUCACACAGGUUGGCCCCAUGUUUUUUUGCACUCUUUCAAGCUCAUACCAUGUGCUACGUUCCAUAACAUACCCAAAUACCUUAUCAUCCCAAUUAAUAUCAUUAUUCUCUUUCCCUAAAAGGUAAAGAUAUACCAUAUUAUUCAUACCCUCUUGGUGAUUUCAAGUCAUGAAACUCAUAAUUAAUUGUGGUAUAUAUAGGUAAUAGGUAAUGAAAAGAGCUGAAGAUCAAAGAAAGAGAGACAUAGAAGAAUAUAUAUGUAAGAAGAAGAAGAAGAAGAAGAAUGAAGAAUUACUUGAGGUGGCUAGAAGGUUUGGCUACAGCAUGGGGAUUCAUGUUGUUGGUGGCUCUUUUAUGUUGUUGUCUAAGCACCAAACCGCGACAAGACGGUGAUGAUAUCUCUGGCAAUGGUGGGUGCACUUGCGAUGGCGGCGGCCAUGGUUGUGUAUGAUGCUUUCCAUCAUUUAAUCAUAAGCUAUUUUUUGUGUUAGGUAAUUCAAUAGGUUGGGGUAUACUUGAUGUACAUAUUUUUAGUAUCAUUUUUUGUUAAAUUUUUUAAUUUUUAUAUAAACAUAGAAUUGAUAGUAUGAAAUCUGUUUAUAAUCAUGAGAGGGUUCUCUGAUGAUUUUGUAAUUUAGUGGAUAAAUAGAGGGUUAGAGCUAGAUAUAUGCAUAUAUUGUUCUAAAUUUGAAGUUCUAUACAUUACUGAUAGUGUUUUUUUUUUUCUUUCUUCAUUCCUUAAA